This 64-nucleotide ribosomal RNA is filed under the name Theileria equi. RNAcentral describes it as "partial small subunit ribosomal RNA". Lineage: Eukaryota; Apicomplexa; Aconoidasida; Piroplasmida; Theileriidae. The record is from RNAcentral.
UAACCAUAAACGAUGCCGACUAGAGAUUGGAGGUCGUCAGUUUGAACGACUCCUUCAGCACCUU